GGCCUGUGUCUGGGGGAGGGGCCUUCCACAGGGCAGGGCAGCUAGAAGUCUAUCAGCCUAGCAGCUCCCAACACCCCGAGCUCCAGGGCACUCUUGCUCCAAAGAGUUUCCAUGUGCACAGGAGCAAAGCCUCCUGUUUCUUCCAGCCCAGGGGCCACAGAAAGUUUCCUGUAACAACCUCAUUCCACAGCCCUGCCAGCUACUCCUGACUGCCAACUUGGUGGGCUUUACAAUCACCAUGGAAACAAAGCCCUGCACAUGUCUGUGAGCCAGUAUCUAAAUAGGUUAAUUCCGGUGGGAAGACCCAUCCUAAGACCCAUUCCACCGGUUCAGGUCUCUGACUACAUAAGAUUAAGACAGCCAACUGGCACCAGCUUUCCUUUCGUUGUGCCUCCUGACUGUGGAUGCAAUGCGCCCGGCUGACUCAAGCUCCCGCUGCCACGCCCUUCCUGACUGUGGAUGCCAUGUGCCCGGCUGACUCAAGCUCCCGCUGCCACGCCCUUCCUGACUGUGGAUGCCAUGCACCCAUCUGACUCAAGAUCCUGCUGCCACACCCUUCCUGACUGUGGAUGCCAUGCUCCCGGCUGACUCAAGCUCCCACUGCCACGCCCUUCCUGACUGUGGAUGCCUUGUGCCCGGCUGACUCAAGGCUGACUCAAACUCCCGCUGCCACGCCCUUCCUGACUGUGGAUGCCAUGCUCCCGGCUGACUCAAGAUCCUGCUGCCACACCCUUCCUGACUGUGGAUGCCAUGCUCCCGGCUGACUCAAGCUCCCACUGCCACGCCCUUCCUGACUGUGGAUGCCAUGCUCCCGGCUGACUCAAGCUCCCGCUGCCACGCCCUUCCUGACUGUGGAUGCCAUGCUCCCGGCUGACUCAAGAUCCUGCUGCCACACCCUUCCUGACUGUGGAUGCCAUGCUCCCGGCUGACUCAAGCUCCCACUGCCACGCCCUUCCUGACUGUGGAUGCCAUGAGCCCAGAGUCAAAACCUGUCUUAACUCCGGUGAGCUGGUCUGUCAGGGGUUUUGUCCCUGACAACAGCAUGGCAAGUAGCCAACACAACAGCUCUGACUUAAAAACGGACGUUCUGAAGGCUGAAGGAGGAGUUCUGACUGCUUUCUACUCAAGUGCAGCGUGGUUAUACUCAGCUCUGCCCGACUGGGGAGGAGGGCUCCUGAAACAAAGCGAUCCUGAUUCACAGAAGGAAAUUGAAAAGCAGAUGGGAAAUGUUUGUUUGAUUCCACAAACAUGUCAGUGAGGUAUCACAAAGACAUGUGACCUAAAUUCUCCAGCAACAUUUGUGCCACCUCAGCUUUGACUGGUGUACAGAGGGAGUCACGAUGGUGACAGCUGCAGUCAAGACUGCAAAGCCUCAUUAACUCCAUCCUCCUGUAUUCCAAGUCUCCCGAGUCUGAGAACGCUGCUUUGUGUUUUGCUGUCUCUCCCGAGGAUGCCUUGUUCUCCGGCUCCACACCACGCUGCCUGCACUCCCACCUGCUCUGAGUCGGCUCGCCUGUUGGUCCCACAUCCCUUCUCUGCUGCAGUCAGGCUCUGCCUGGGCCCCUCCAUGAGAACUUUUCUCCCAUUGCCCUGUUCUCACAACGUGCUUGGUCUUUGCACACUCUUCCUCUCCGCCCCCUACAGAAGACUGUGCAAUGAGUAUGAUGGCUUUACCGGGACUAUCAACUUGAUGGGAUUUAGAAGGAACAUGGAAACAGGCUUCUGGACGUGUCUGUGCAGGAGUUUCUCUAUUAGGUUAGUUUACACGGGAAGACCAAAGCCGAGCGCCAGUGGCAUCUUUC
Molecule: long non-coding RNA, 1802 nt
Filed under: Cricetulus griseus (Chinese hamster)
Lineage: Eukaryota; Metazoa; Chordata; Mammalia; Rodentia; Cricetidae
Description: lncRNA (ENSCGRG00015030606.1)
Source: RNAcentral